GAUGAACGCUGGCGGUAUGCUUAACACAUGCAAGUUGAACGAAUGACUCUUUUUUCGGAAAAGAGAAGUUAGUGGCGAACGGGUGAGUAACGCGUAAGAAUCUACAUUUAGGUAAAGAAUAACAAUUGGAAACGAUUGCUAAUACUUUAUAAGCUGAAGAGUAAAAGGUUAAUCUGCCUAAAAAUGAGCUUGCGUCUGAUUAGCUAGUUGGUAAGGUAAAGGCUUACCAAGGCAUCGAUCAGUAGUUGGUCUGAGAGGAUGAUCAACCACACUGGGACUGAGAUACGGCCCAGACCUCUACGGAGGGCAGCAGUGAGGAAUUUUCCGCAAUGGGCGAAAGCCUGACGGAGCAAUACCGCGUGAAGGACGACGGCCUGUGGGUUGUAAACUUCUUUUCUCAAGGAAGAAUUUUGACGGUACUUGAGGAAUAAGCAUCGGCUAACUCCGUGCCAGCCGCCGCGGUAAU
This 466-nucleotide ribosomal RNA is filed under the name uncultured bacterium. RNAcentral describes it as "bacterial SSU rRNA". It matches the Rfam family "Bacterial small subunit ribosomal RNA", at positions 28 to 524 of the family's 1533-position model. The record is from RNAcentral.